RNAcentral lists this ribosomal RNA (880 nucleotides) under uncultured marine microorganism. Its description in RNAcentral is "bacterial SSU rRNA". It matches the Rfam family "Bacterial small subunit ribosomal RNA", at positions 8 to 932 of the family's 1533-position model. The record is from RNAcentral.
AGAGUUUGAUCAUGGCUCAGGAUGUACGCUGGCGGUAUGCCUAACACAUGCAAGUCGAACGAUGUCUUCGGACAUAGUGGCGGACGGGUGAGUAACGCGUGAGAAUCUGCCUCUAGGAUGGGGAUAACGGUUGGAAACGACCGCUAACACCCAAUAUGCCGUAAGGUGAAAAAUUUAUUGCCUGGAGAGGAGCUCGCGUCUGAUUAGCUAGUUGGUGGGGUAAGAGCUCACCAAGGCUUCGAUCAGUAGCUGGUCUGAGAGGAUGAGCAGCCACACUGGGACUGAGACACGGCCCAGACUCCUACGGGAGGCAGCAGUGGGGAAUUUUCCGCAAUGGGCGAAAGCCUGACGAAGCAAUACCGCGUGAGGGAGGAAUGCCUUUGGGUUGUAAACCUCUUUUCUCAGGGAAGAAGAUCUGACGGUACCUGAGGAAUAAGUAUCGGCUAACUCCGUGCCAGCAGCCGCGGUAAUACGGAGGAUGCAAGCGUUAUCCGGAAUCAUUGGGCGUAAAGCGUCCGCAGGUGGUUUCCAAAGUCUGCUGUUAAAGACUGGAGCUCAACUCCGGAACGGCGGUGGAAACUUGGAAACUAGAGUUCGGUAGGGGUAGCAGGAAUUCCCAGUGUAGCGGUGAAAUGCGUAGAUAUUGGGAAGAACAUCGGUGGCGAAGGCGUGCUACUGGACCGUAACUGACACUCAGGGACGAAAGCUAGGGGAGCGAAAGGGAUUAGAUACCCCUGUAGUCCUAGCUGUAAACGAUGGAAACUAGGUGUGGCUNGUAUCGACCCGAGCCGUGCCGUANCUNACGCGUUAAGUUUCCCGCCUGGGGAGUACGCACGCAAGUGUGAAACUCAAAGGAAUUGACGGGGGCCCGCACAAGCGG